Molecule: ribosomal RNA, 712 nt
Filed under: uncultured bacterium
Lineage: Bacteria
Description: bacterial SSU rRNA
Rfam family: Bacterial small subunit ribosomal RNA
Source: RNAcentral
CGGUAGCCGGACUGAGAGGUUGAACGGCCACAUUGGGACUGAGACACGGCCCAGACUCCUACGGGAGGCAGCAGUGGGGGAUAUUGCACAAUGGAGGAAACUCUGAUGCAGCGACGCCGCGUGAGGGAAGAAGGUCUUCGGAUUGUAAACCUUUGUCCUUGGUGACGAUAAUGACGGUAGCCAAGGAGGAAGCUCCGGCUAACUACGUGCCAGCAGCCGCGGUAAUACGUAGGGAGCGAGCGUUGUCCGGAUUUACUGGGUGUAAAGGGUGCGUAGGCGGCUCUGCAAGUCAGGUGUGAAAACCAUCGGCUUAACUGAUGGACUGCAUUUGAAACUGUGGGGCUUGAGUGGAGUAGAGGCAGACGGAAUUCCCGGUGUAGCGGUGAAAUGCGUAGAGAUCGGGAAGAACACCAGUGGCGAAGGCGGUCUGCUGGGCUCUAACUGACGCUGAGGCACGAAAGCAUGGGUAGCAAACAGGAUUAGAUACCCUGGUAGUCCAUGCCGUAAACGAUGAUUACUAGGUGUGGGGGAGUCUGACCCUCUCCGUGCCGGAGUUAACACAAUAAGUAAUCCACCUGGGAAGUACGACCGCAAGGUUGAAACUCAAAGGAAUUGACGGGGGCCCGCACAAGCAGUGGAAUAAUGGUGGUUUAAUUCGAAGCAACGCGAAGAACCUUACCAGAUCUUGACAUCCAACUAAUCCUGUAGAAAA